RNAcentral lists this ribosomal RNA (436 nucleotides) under uncultured Mogibacterium sp. RNAcentral's name for it is "partial 16S ribosomal RNA". It matches the Rfam family "Bacterial small subunit ribosomal RNA", at positions 341 to 792 of the family's 1533-position model. The record is from RNAcentral. Lineage: Bacteria; Bacillati; Bacillota; Clostridia; Peptostreptococcales; Anaerovoracaceae.
ACGGGAGGCAGCAGUAAGGAAUCUUGCACAAUGGGGGAAACCCUGAUGCAGCAACGCCGCGUGAACGAUGAAGGCCUUCGGGUUGUAAAGUUCUGUUCUUAGGGAAGAAACAAAUGACGGUACCUAAGGAGCAAGCCCCGGCUAACUACGUGCCAGCAGCCGCGGUAAUACGUAGGGGGCAAGCGUUAUCCGGAAUUAUUGGGCGUGAAGAGUGCGUAGGUGGUUACCUAAGCGCAAGGUUUAAUCUUGAGGCUUAACCUCAUUCUGCCUUGCGAACUGGGCUACUUGAGUUCAGGAGGGGAAAGCGGAAUUCCUAGUGUAGCGGUGAAAUGCGUAGAUAUUAGGAAGAACACCGGUGGCGAAGGCGGCUUUCUGGACUGUAACUGACACUGAGGCACGAAAGCGUGGGGAGCAAACAGGAUUAGAUACCCUGGUA